RNAcentral lists this ribosomal RNA (688 nucleotides) under Stachybotrys chartarum. RNAcentral describes it as "eukaryotic LSU rRNA". It matches the Rfam family "Eukaryotic large subunit ribosomal RNA", at positions 156 to 868 of the family's 3401-position model. Lineage: Eukaryota; Fungi; Ascomycota; Sordariomycetes; Hypocreales; Stachybotryaceae. The record is from RNAcentral.
AGGAUGCUUUUGGGCGCGGGUGCCCUUUCCGAGUUCCCUGGAACGGGGCGCCAUAGAGGGUGAGAGCCCCCGUCUGGUUGGAUACCAAGCCUUUGUAAAGCUCCUUCGACGAGUCGAGUAGUUUGGGAAUGCUGCUCUAAAUGGGAGGUAUAUGUCUUCUAAAGCUAAAUACCGGCCAGAGACCGAUAGCGCCCAAGUAGAGUGAUCGAAAGAUGAAAAGCACUUUGGAAAGAGAGUUAAACAGCACGUGAAAUUGUUAAAAGGGAAGCGUUUAUGACCAGACUUGGGCGGGUUAAUCAUCCAGCGUUCUCGCUGGUGCACUUUGCCGGUCCAGGCCAGCAUCAGUUCGCUGCGGGGGAUAAAGGCGUCGGGAAUGUGGCUCCUCUGGAGUGUUAUAGCCCUUCGCGCAAUACCCUGCGGUGGACUGAGGUUCGCGCAUCUGCAAGGAUGCUGGCGUAAUGGUCAUCAACGACCCGUCUUGGAACACGGACCAAGGAGUCGUCUUCGUAUGCGAGUGUUCGGGUGUAAAACCCCUACGCGUAAUGAAAGUGAACGCAGGUGAGAGCUUUAGAAGAGAUCAUCGACCGAUCCUGAUGUUCUCGGAUGGAUUUGAGUAAGAGCAUACGGGGCCGGACCCGAAAGAAGUUGUACUAUGCCUGUAUAGGGUGAAGCCAGAGGAAACUCUUGU